UACGUAGGGUGCGAGCGUUAAUCGGAAUUACUGGGCGUAAAGCGUGCGCAGGCGGUUCGUUAAGUUCGUUGUGAAAGCCCCGGGCUCAACCUGGGAGGUGCAAUGGAAACUGGCGAACUGGAGUGCGGCAGAGGGGGGUGGAAUUCCACGUGUAGCAGUGAAAUGCGUAGAGAUGUGGAGGAACACCGAUGGCGAAGGCAACCCCCUGGGCUGACACUGACGCUCAGGCACGAAAGCGUGGGGAGCAAACAGG
RNAcentral lists this ribosomal RNA (253 nucleotides) under uncultured bacterium. RNAcentral describes it as "partial 16S ribosomal RNA". It matches the Rfam family "Bacterial small subunit ribosomal RNA", at positions 524 to 776 of the family's 1533-position model. The record is from RNAcentral.